UUGAUAAUAAUUUUAAGUCAAUCUCUGCCCAAUGAUUUAAUUAAAUGGCUGCAGUAUAACUGACUGUACAAAGGUAGCAUAAUCAAUUGAUUUUUAAAUGGAAUCUGGAAUGAAAGGAUUAAUGAAAUAUAUUCUGUCUCAUAUAUAUAAUAUGAAUUUAAAAUUUUAAUAAAAAUGUUAAAAUUUUUUUUUGGGACGAUAAGACCCUAUAGAAUUUUAUAUAAAAUAAAUUUUAUAUUAAUAUAAAAUUUAUUUUAUAUUUAGUUGGGAGAAUUAUUAAAUUUAAAAAAUUUUAAUUUUUAUAAACUUNAAUUAAAGAAAAUUUAUUGAUUUAAAAUUUUUAAUUAUUAGAGUAAAUCACCCUUAGGGAUAACAGCGUAAUAUUUUUUUAUAGAUCUUAUAGAAAAAAAUGAUUGNGACCUCGAUGUUGAAUUAAGAUAAAUUUUAAAUGUAGAAGUUUAAUNAUUAAGUCUGUUCGACUUUUAAAAUCNUACAUGAUUUGAGUUCAAAUCGACGUAAGU
This 521-nucleotide ribosomal RNA is filed under the name Melipona panamica. RNAcentral describes it as "partial 16S ribosomal RNA". The stretch from base 369 to 521 matches the Rfam family "Bacterial large subunit ribosomal RNA", at positions 2473 to 2626 of the family's 2925-position model. The record is from RNAcentral. Lineage: Eukaryota; Metazoa; Arthropoda; Insecta; Hymenoptera; Apidae.